AGACAGCCAGGAUGUUGGCUUAGAAGCAGCCAUCAUUUAAAGAAAGCGUAAUAGCUCACUGGUCGAGUCGGCCUGCGCGGAAGAUGUAACGGGGCUAAACCAUGCACCGAAGCUGCGGCAGCGACGCUUAGGCGUUGUUGGGUAGGGGAGCGUUCUGUAAGCCGUUGAAGGUGGCCUGUGAGGGUUGCUGGAGGUAUCAGAAGUGCGAAUGCUGACAUAAGUAACGAUAAAGCGGGUGAAAAGCCCGCUCGCCGGAAGACCAAGGGUUCCUGUCCAACGUUAAUCGGGGCAGGGUGAGUCGACCCCUAAGGCGAGGCUGAAAAGCGUAGUCGAUGGGAAACAGGUUAAUAUUCCUGUACUUGGUGUUACUGCGAAGGGGGGACGGAGAAGGCUAGGCUGGCCGGGCGACGGUUGUCCCGGUUUAAGCGUGUAGGGGGUGUGACCUGGUAAAUCCGGUUGCAUACUAACCCUGAGGCGUGAUGACGAUGCACUACGGUGCAGAAGUAGUUGAUGCCCUGCUUCCAGGAAAAUCCUCUAAGCUCCAGGUAACAUUAAAUCGUACCCCAAACCGACACAGGUGGUCAGGUAGAGAAUACCAAGGCGCUUGAGAGAACUCGGGUGAAGGAACUAGGCAAAAUGGUGCCGUAACUUCGGGAGAAGGCACGCUGGCAUGUAGGUGAAGUCCCUUGCGGAUGGAGCUGAAGCCAGUCGAAGAUACCAGCUGGCUGCAACUGUUUAAUAAAAACACAGCACUGUGCAAACACGAAAGUGGACGUAUACGGUGUGACGCCUGCCCGGUGCUGGAAGGUUAAUUGAUGGGGUCAGCCGCAAGGCGAAGCUCUUGAUCGAAGCCCCAGUAAACGGCGGCCGUAACUAUAACGGUCCUAAGGUAGCGAAAUUCCUUGUCGGGUAAGUUCCGACCUGCACGAAUGGCGUAAUGAUGGCCAGGCUGUCUCCACCCGAGACUCAGUGAAAUUGAACUCGCUGUGAAGAUGCAGUGUACCCGCGGCAAGACGGAAAGACCCCGUGAACCUUUACUAUAGCUUGACACUGAACAUUGAGCCUUGAUGUGUAGGAUAGGUGGGAGGCUUUGAAGCGUGGACGCCAGUCUGCGUGGAGCCAUCCUUGAAAUACCACCCUUUAAUGUUUGAUGUUCUAACUCGGCCCC
Molecule: ribosomal RNA, 1168 nt
Filed under: Serratia marcescens
Lineage: Bacteria; Pseudomonadati; Pseudomonadota; Gammaproteobacteria; Enterobacterales; Yersiniaceae
Also listed under: 2 other names
Description: partial 23S ribosomal RNA
Rfam family: Bacterial large subunit ribosomal RNA
Source: RNAcentral